RNAcentral lists this ribosomal RNA (404 nucleotides) under uncultured bacterium. RNAcentral's name for it is "bacterial SSU rRNA". It matches the Rfam family "Bacterial small subunit ribosomal RNA", at positions 355 to 775 of the family's 1533-position model. The record is from RNAcentral.
UAGGGAAUAUUGCUUAAUGGGCGAAAGCCUGAAGCAGCAAUGCCGCGUGAACGAAGAAGGCCUUCGGGUCGUAAAGUUCUUUUACGUGGGAUGGGGAAGGACAGUACCACGAGAAUAAGUCUCGGCUAACUACGUGCCAGCAGCCGCGGUAAAACGUAGGAGACGAGCGUUAUCCGGAUUUACUGGGCGUAAAGCGCGUGUAGGAGGCGCUACAAGUUGGAUGUGAAAGCUCCCGGCUUAACUGGGAGAGGUCGUUCAAGACUGUAGGGCUAGAGUGAGGCAGAGGUAGAUGGAACUCCGGGAGUAGUGGUGAAAUGCGUAGAUAUCCGGAAGAACACCAGAGGCGAAAGCGAUCUACUGGGCCUAAACUGACACUGAGACGCGAAAGCCAGGGUAGCAAACGG